UAAGCGACUAAGCGUACACGGUGGAUGCCCUGGCAGUCAGAGGCGAUGAAGGACGUGCUAAUCUGCGAUAAGCGUCGGUAAGGUGAUAUGAACCGUUAUAACCGGCGAUUUCCGAAUGGGGAAACCCAGUGUGAUUCGUCACACUAUCAUUAACUGAAUCCAUAGGUUAAUGAGGCGAACCGGGGGAACUGAAACAUCUAAGUACCCCGAGGAAAAGAAAUCAACCGAGAUUCCCCCAGUAGCGGCGAGCGAACGGGGAGCAGCCCAGAGCCUGAAUCAGUGUGUGUGUUAGUGGAAGCGUCUGGAAAGGCGUGCGAUACAGGGUGACAGCCCCGUACACAAAAAUGCACAUACUGUGAGCUCGAUGAGUAGGGCGGGACACGUGGUAUCCUGUCUGAAUAUGGGGGGACCAUCCUCCAAGGCUAAAUACUCCUGACUGACCGAUAGUGAACCAGUACCGUGAGGGAAAGGCGAAAAGAACCCCGGCGAGGGGAGUGAAAAAGAACCUGAAACCGUGUACGUACAAGCAGUGGGAGCACGCUUAGGCGUGUGACUGCGUACCUUUUGUAUAAUGGGUCAGCGACUUAUAUUCUGUAGCAAGGUUAACCGAAUAGGGGAGCCGAAGGGAAACCGAGUCUUAACUGGGCGUUAAGUUGCAGGGUAUAGACCCGAAACCCGGUGAUCUAGCCAUGGGCAGGUUGAAGGUUGGGUAACACUAACUGGAGGACCGAACCGACUAAUGUUAGAAAAAUUAGCGGAUGACUUGUGGCUGGGGGUGAAAGGCCAAUCAAACCGGGAGAUAGCUGGUUCUCCCCGAAAGCUAUUUAGGUAGCGCCUCGUGAAUUCAUCUCCGGGGGUAGAGCACUGUUUCGGCAAGGGGGUCAUCCCGACUUACAACCCGAUGCAAACUGCGAAUACCGGAGAAUGUUAUCACGGGAGACACACGGCGGGUGCUAACGUCCGUCGUGAAGAGGGAAACAACCCAGACCGCCAGCUAAGGUCCCAAAGUCAUGGUUAAGUGGGAAACGAUGUGGGAAGGCCCAGACAGCCAGGAUGUUGGCUUAGAAGCAGCCAUCAUUUAAGAAAGCGUAAUAGCUCACUGGUCGAGUCGGCCUGCGCGGAAGAUGUAACGGGGCUAAACCAUGCACCGAAGCUGCGGCAGCGACGCUUAUGCGUUGUUGGGUAGGGGAGCGUUCUGUAAGCCUGUGAAGGUGUACUGUGAGGUAUGCUGGAGGUAUCAGAAGUGCGAAUGCUGACAUAAGUAACGAUAAAGCGGGUGAAAAGCCCGCUCGCCGGAAGACCAAGGGUUCCUGUCCAACGUUAAUCGGGGCAGGGUGAGUCGACCCCUAAGGCGAGGCCGAAAGGCGUAGUCGAUGGGAAACAGGUUAAUAUCCUGUACUUGGUGUUACUGCGAAGGGGGGACGGAGAAGGCUAUGUUGGCCGGGCGACGGUUGUCCCGGUUUAAGCGUGUAGGCUGGUUUUCCAGGCAAAUCCGGAAAAUCAAGGCCGAGGCGUGAUGACGAGGCACUACGGUGCUGAAGCAACAAAUGCCCUGCUUCCAGGAAAAGCCUCUAAGCAUCAGGUAACAUCAAAUCGUACCCCAAACCGACACAGGUGGUCAGGUAGAGAAUACCAAGGCGCUUGAGAGAACUCGGGUGAAGGAACUAGGCAAAAUGGUGCCGUAACUUCGGGAGAAGGCACGCUGAUACGUAGGUGAAGCGACUUGCUCGUGGAGCUGAAAUCAGUCGAAGAUACCAGCUGGCCGCAACUGUUUAUUAAAACACAGCACUGUGCAAACACGAAAGUGGACGUAUACGGUGUGACGCCUGCCCGGUGCCGGAAGGUUAAUUGAUGGGGUUAGCGCAAGCGAAGCUCUUGAUCGAAGCCCCGGUAAACGGCGGCCGUAACUAUAACGGUCCUAAGGUAGCGAAAUUCCUUGUCGGGUAAGUUCCGACCUGCACGAAUGGCGUAAUGAUGGCCAGGCUGUCUCCACCCGAGACUCAGUGAAAUUGAACUCGCUGUGAAGAUGCAGUGUACCCGCGGCAAGACGGAAAGACCCCGUGAACCUUUACUAUAGCUUGACACUGAACAUUGAGCCUUGAUGUGUAGGAUAGGUGGGAGGCUUUGAAGUGUGGACGCCAGUCUGCAUGGAGCCGACCUUGAAAUACCACCCUUUAAUGUUUGAUGUUCUAACGUGGACCCGUAAUCCGGGUUGCGGACAGUGUCUGGUGGGUAGUUUGACUGGGGCGGUCUCCUCCUAAAGAGUAACGGAGGAGCACGAAGGUUGGCUAAUCCUGGUCGGACAUCAGGAGGUUAGUGCAAUGGCAUAAGCCAGCUUGACUGCGAGCGUGACGGCGCGAGCAGGUGCGAAAGCAGGUCAUAGUGAUCCGGUGGUUCUGAAUGGAAGGGCCAUCGCUCAACGGAUAAAAGGUACUCCGGGGAUAACAGGCUGAUACCGCCCAAGAGUUCAUAUCGACGGCGGUGUUUGGCACCUCGAUGUCGGCUCAUCACAUCCUGGGGCUGAAGUAGGUCCCAAGGGUAUGGCUGUUCGCCAUUUAAAGUGGUACGCGAGCUGGGUUUAGAACGUCGUGAGACAGUUCGGUCCCUAUCUGCCGUGGGCGCUGGAGAACUGAGGGGGGCUGCUCCUAGUACGAGAGGACCGGAGUGGACGCAUCACUGGUGUUCGGGUUGUCAUGCCAAUGGCACUGCCCGGUAGCUAAAUGCGGAAGAGAUAAGCGCUGAAAGCAUCUAAGCACGAAACUUGCCCCGAGAUGAGUUCUCCCUGACCCUUUAAGGGUCCUGAAGGAACGUUGAAGACGACGACGUUGAUAGGCCGGGUGUGUAAGCGCAGCGAUGCGUUGAGCUAACCGGUACUAAUGAACCGUGAGGCUUAACCU
This 2897-nucleotide ribosomal RNA is filed under the name Shigella flexneri K-1770. Its description in RNAcentral is "bacterial LSU rRNA". It matches the Rfam family "Bacterial large subunit ribosomal RNA". Lineage: Bacteria; Pseudomonadati; Pseudomonadota; Gammaproteobacteria; Enterobacterales; Enterobacteriaceae. The record is from RNAcentral.